Molecule: long non-coding RNA, 411 nt
Organism: Mytilus trossulus (common blue mussel)
Lineage: Eukaryota; Metazoa; Mollusca; Bivalvia; Mytilida; Mytilidae
Exons: 3
Source: RefSeq, a predicted model, not a curated record
GAUCAAAUCAGCAUUAUUUCCAUUUGGAACUUCUGGAAGAGAAUGGUUUGUGACAGUGACUUGGACACCAACAAAAAGCCAGACAGGCACUCACUUGUUUUGUUACACUGCAGUUGAUAAUUUAGGACAAACCUCAGACCAGACAUGCGCUACACUCGUGGUAGACGAGGAACCCGACGAUACGGUUGUUCUAAAUCAGGAUUGCAAUGCUUUUAAAACGCCAGAAAAAGUACAUACUAAGUGCAUUGAAGCGACAACUGGCGUCCCCCCAUUAUUUUACCUGGCAACCAGCUGCUCCUCUUAUUUUGUUCAGUGUAACGAGCUUGGAACUGGACAUAUUGUGCGCUGUGCUCCUGGAACUGAAUGGUGCAACCAUGUUUUAACAUGUGUACAGUCAGGAUCUUGUGCGAC